RNAcentral lists this ribosomal RNA (482 nucleotides) under uncultured bacterium. RNAcentral describes it as "partial 16S ribosomal RNA". It matches the Rfam family "Bacterial small subunit ribosomal RNA", at positions 30 to 507 of the family's 1533-position model. The record is from RNAcentral.
AUUGAACGCUGGCGGCAUGCUUUACACAUGCAAGUCGAACGGUAACAGGCCGCAAGGUGCUGACGAGUGGCGAACGGGUGAGUAAUGCAUCGGAACGUGCCCAGUCGUGGGGGAUAACUACUCGAAAGAGUAGCUAAUACCGCAUACGAUCUAUGGAUGAAAGCGGGGGACCGUAAGGCCUCGCGCGAUUGGAGCGGCCGAUGUUAGAUUAGGUAGUUGGUGGGGUAAAGGCUCACCAAGCCAACGAUCUGUAGCUGGUCUGAGAGGACGACCCGCCACACUGGGACUGAGACACGGCCCAGACUCCUACGGGAGGCAGCAGUGGGGAAUUUUGGACAAUGGGCGCAAGCCUGAUCCAGCAAUGCCGCGUGCAGGAAGAAGGCCUUCGGGUUGUAAACUGCUUUUGUACGGAACGAAACGGCUCUGGUUAAUACCCGGGGCUAAUGACGGUACCGUAAGAAUAAGCACCGGCUAACUACGUG